AUACUGCAGUCGAGCGGACAGAAGGGAGCUUGCUCCCGGAUGUUAGCGGCGGACGGGUGAGUAACACGUGGGUAACCUGCCUGUAAGACUGGGAUAACUCCGGGAAACCGGAGCUAAUACCGGAUAGUUCCUUGAACCGCAUGGUUCAAGGAUGAAAGACGGUUUCGGCUGUCACUUACAGAUGGACCCGCGGCGCAUUAGCUAGUUGGUGGGGUAAUGGCUCACCAAGGCGACGAUGCGUAGCCGACCUGAGAGGGUGAUCGGCCACACUGGGACUGAGACACGGCCCAGACUCCUACGGGAGGCAGCAGUAGGGAAUCUUCCGCAAUGGACGAAAGUCUGACGGAGCAACGCCGCGUGAGUGAUGAAGGUUUUCGGAUCGUAAAGCUCUGUUGUUAGGGAAGAACAAGUGCGAGAGUAACUGCUCGCACCUUGACGGUACCUAACCAGAAAGCCACGGCUAACUACGUGCCAGCAGCCGCGGUAAUACGUAGGUGGCAAGCGUUGUCCGGAAUUAUUGGGCGUAAAGGGCUCGCAGGCGGUUUCUUAAGUCUGAUGUGAAAGCCCCCGGCUCAACCGGGGAGGGUCAUUGGAAACUGGGAAACUUGAGUGCAGAAGAGGAGAGUGGAAUUCCACGUGUAGCGGUGAAAUGCGUAGAGAUGUGGAGGAACACCAGUGGCGAAGGCGACUCUCUGGUCUGUAACUGACGCUGAGGAGCGAAAGCGUGGGGAGCGAACAGGAUUAGAUACCCUGGUAGUCCACGCCGUAAACGAUGAGUGCUAAGUGUUAGGGGGUUUCCGCCCCUUAAUGCUGCAGCUAACGCAUUAAGCACUCCGCCUGGGGAGUACGGUCGCAAGACUGAAACUCAAAGGAAUUGACGGAGGCCCGCACAACCGGGGGAGCAUGUGGGUUAAUUCGAAGCAACGCCAAAGAACCUUACCAGGUCUUGACAUCCUCUGACAACCCUAGAAAAAAGGGCUUUCCCUUCGG
RNAcentral lists this ribosomal RNA (990 nucleotides) under Bacillus sp. (in: firmicutes). Its description in RNAcentral is "bacterial SSU rRNA". It matches the Rfam family "Bacterial small subunit ribosomal RNA", at positions 51 to 1023 of the family's 1533-position model. The record is from RNAcentral. Lineage: Bacteria; Bacillati; Bacillota; Bacilli; Caryophanales; Bacillaceae.